AUAUAAUUAAACACAAAUCGCAUUAUUAUAAAGAAAUCAUAAGAUUAACAAUAUCAUAUAGAGUUGUAGAUGGGUUGAUCCAAAGCAUUUACACCACUAAUUAUAACACAAAUGAAAUUAUAAACUUUGAGAUAACAUAGAAUUGUUUUUAAACUUACCAAUCGAAGACAUUUACAAAUAUGAUCAUGGCAUACCACAACAAGAGGAAGGUGAC
RNAcentral lists this long non-coding RNA (214 nucleotides) under Medicago truncatula (barrel medic). RNAcentral describes it as "lncRNA gene2284". The record is from RNAcentral. Lineage: Eukaryota; Viridiplantae; Streptophyta; Magnoliopsida; Fabales; Fabaceae.